Molecule: ribosomal RNA, 422 nt
Filed under: uncultured Bacteroides sp.
Lineage: Bacteria; Pseudomonadati; Bacteroidota; Bacteroidia; Bacteroidales; Bacteroidaceae
Description: partial 16S ribosomal RNA
Rfam family: Bacterial small subunit ribosomal RNA
Source: RNAcentral
UGAGGAAUAUUGGUCAAUGGGCGCGAGCCUGAACCAGCCAAGUAGCGUGAAGGAUGAAGGCUCUAUGGGUCGUAAACUUCUUUUAUAAAGGAAUAAAGUGAGUCACGUGUGACUUUUUGUAUGUACUUUAUGAAUAAGGAUCGGCUAACUCCGUGCCAGCAGCCGCGGUAAUACGGAGGAUCCGAGCGUUAUCCGGAUUUAUUGGGUUUAAAGGGAGCGUAGGUGGAUUAUUAAGUCAGUUGUGAAAGUUUGCGGCUCAACCGUAAAAUUGCAGUUGAUACUGGUAGUCUUGAGUUAAGUAGAGGUGGGCGGAAUUCGUGGUGUAGCGGUGAAAUGCUUAGAUAUCACGAAGAACUCCAAUUGCGAAGGCAGCUCACUGGACUUUUACUGACACUGAUGCUCGAAAGUGUGGGUAUCAAACA